CGCCCCUGUGCCCCUCCCUCUCCCCAGGCCCCUCCCGUCCGGAGCUGCCAACCCUGGCCGAAGCCAGUCGGAGAGUGAGUGGCCUGGAGGACUGCGGGUACCAGUGUUAGUAGACGGUGACUGGCAUCCUUUAAGGCACGGAAUUCUUUUUGAAAUUUUACUGGGCAUCGAUGACCCGCGUACCCAAAGUGGAAGUGGACAGACCCUCUCGAAGAAGCCUAGGGACGGCCGCAGGGAGGGAAAGGAGGGCUGAGAAGAAACCUGCCGGGACCAAAGGUGCACACCCGCGGCUGGGCUCAGAGGCUCCCGCCCUAGGGGUGGGUCCCGGGCGAACGCAGAGGACUCCGCCCCAGGCCCACGCUGCUGCCGGCUUCCCCGUUCCGCACGGCGCGGGGGCGGGGCCGAGGGCGGGGCCAGGCGCGGCACAUGCGCUCAGAGCCCCGGGAUGCACCCGCCCUGCAGCGCCGCUAGAGCCCGGCAGAGGGCGGCCGCCUCCUUCUUACCAGCCCGCCGGCUUCGCGGCCGCGGGAUUUCACCUCCUCCGGGCCGGCCUCCUGGCCCCGCCCCCAAGAGGCGUCCCCCGGGAGCUCAAGGCUGAGGGGGCUGCUGCGGCAAGAUGGCCUCUGCCUUACUCUGGAGGGAUACGCCAAGAAGAGGCAAGGAUAAGCUCAGCGCCAACUUUGCUUUCAUCACCGCUCCAUCCCCAAAGCCCAAAACAGCCCCUUCAUAUAAUAGGCACUCAAUAAAUGCUUACUGAUGGAAUCAAAUGGAUGGAUGGCUACAUGAAUAAACAGAAGACUCCA
This is a long non-coding RNA of Equus caballus (horse), 803 nucleotides long. RefSeq lists it as uncharacterized. The record is from RefSeq and is a predicted model, not a curated record. NCBI's taxonomy places the organism in Eukaryota, Metazoa, Chordata, Mammalia, Perissodactyla, Equidae.